GAUGAAGAACGUAGUGAAAUGCGAUACGUAGUGUGAAUUGCAGAAUUCAGUGAAUCAUCGAAUCUUUGAACGCACAUUGCACCUCUCGGUAUUCCGGGAGGUAUGCCUGUUCGAGCGUCAUUUGUACCCUCAAGCUCUGCUUGGUGUUGGGUGUUUGUUCCGCCUCUGUGUGUGAACUCGCCUCAAAACAAUUGGCAGCCGGCGUACUUGUUUCGGAGCGCAGCACAUUUUGCGAUCCAGAUCAACGUACAGCGGCAUCCAAGAAGCCUUAUUUAACGCUCUUGACCUCGGAUCAGGUAGGGAUACCCGCUGAACUAAAGCAUAUCAAUAAGCGGAGGA
RNAcentral lists this unclassified non-coding RNA (339 nucleotides) under soil metagenome. RNAcentral's name for it is "partial contains 5.8S ribosomal RNA, internal transcribed spacer 2, and large subunit ribosomal RNA". The stretch from base 1 to 120 matches the Rfam family "5.8S ribosomal RNA", at positions 35 to 154 of the family's 154-position model. The record is from RNAcentral.